CCCGCUGAACUUAAGCAUAUCAAUAAGCGGAGGAAAAGAAACUAACAAGGAUUCCCCUAGUAACUGCGAGUGAAGCGGGAAGAGCUCAAAUUUAAAAUCUGGCGUGCCUCUGGUCGCCCGAGUUGUAGUCUGGAGAAGUGUUUUCCGUGUUGGACCGUGUACAAGUCCCUUGGAACAGGGCGUCAUAGAGGGUGAGAAUCCCGUCUUUGACACGGACUGCCAUGUGCGAUAUGGUGCGCUCUCGAAGAGUCGAGUUGUUUGGGAAUGCAGCUCAAAACGGGUGGUAAAUGCCAUCUAAAGCUAAAUAUUGGCGAGAGACCGAUAGCGAACAAGUACCGUGAGGGAAAGAUGAAAAGAACUUUGGAAAGAGAGUUAAACAGUACGUGAAAUUGCUGAAAGGGAAACGCUUGAAGUCAGUCGCGUCGGCUGGAAAUCAGUCUUGCUUCUGCUUGACGUACUUUCUGGUUCGACGGGUCAGCAUCAGUUUUGACCGCCGGAUAAAGUCGUUGGGAAUGUGGCAUCUUCAUGAUGUGUUAUAGCCCGUCGUCGCAUACGGUGGUCGGGAUUGAGGAACUCAGCACGCCGCAAGGCCGGGUCGUUUCGACCACGUUCGUGCUUAGGAUGCUGGCAUAAUGGCUUUAAUCGACCCGUCUUGAAACACGG
This 663-nucleotide ribosomal RNA is filed under the name uncultured fungus. RNAcentral describes it as "eukaryotic LSU rRNA". It matches the Rfam family "Eukaryotic large subunit ribosomal RNA", at positions 24 to 664 of the family's 3401-position model. The record is from RNAcentral. Lineage: Eukaryota; Fungi.